This 459-nucleotide ribosomal RNA is filed under the name uncultured bacterium. RNAcentral's name for it is "partial 16S ribosomal RNA". It matches the Rfam family "Bacterial small subunit ribosomal RNA", at positions 339 to 795 of the family's 1533-position model. The record is from RNAcentral.
CUACGGGCGGCACCAGUGAGGAAUAUUGGUCAAUGGACGCAAGUCUGAACCAGCCAAGUCGCGUGAAGGAAGACGGCCCUAUGGGUUGUAAACUUCUUUUGUAAGGGGAUAAAACAUCUCACGAGUGAGAUCUUGUAGGUACCUUACGAAUAAGGAUCGGCUAACUCCGUGCCAGCAGCCGCGGUAAUACGGAGGAUCCGAGCGUUAUCCGGAUUUAUUGGGUUUAAAGGGUGCGUAGGCGGUGGAUUAAGUCAGUGGUGAAAGUUUGCGGCUCAACCGUAAAAUUGCCAUUGAAACUGAUUCACUUGAGUACAAAUGAGGUAGGCGGAAUGUGUUGUGUAGCGGUGAAAUGCAUAGAUAUAACACAGAACACCGAUUGCGAAGGCAGCUUACUGGCAUGUAACUGACGCUGAGGCACGAAAGCGUGGGGAUCGAACAGGAUUAGAUACCCCGGUAGUC